GCUACUCUCGGUGUUAGAACUUUGGAAUAUCAAACUCUUCCCAUAACCGAUAGCAAGAUGCAAAUACAUCUUUAAUGUGAAUCAAAUUGGACAAGGCGCGGUAUUGAUGCUCCGUUAAACUUUUAAUUCAGGAAAUUUAUCAAUCUAUCUAUUAAUGCAGCCUAUAAAACUGUUUCUUUCAACUUUUGUUCGUUUAUUUAAUAAUAUAGACAUUUCAAAAUUCAAAUAUUUCAAUUCAAUCAAAACACGAAACGCCUGCGAAUAGGCUAUGAUGUUUACAAUAUCCAAUCAGAACACGUAGUCUAUCGAACCUAUAGUCAGCAGCCAAUGAACUCUUUGCUUCCAUUUUUGAAAGUUAUGUGUGGAAUGUGAACCCAAAAACUACGCCAAUUUCACCAGAGGGUUAUUCAAAACAGGCGAAAAUAAAUACCCUCUGGUUCCAGGGUAUUAUAUAGUCUGCAGUGAGCCGAAUUUUGAAAAUCUACACGCUUCAUAAUAACCGUGAAGCCUCUGGACUAAGGCACAUGUAUUACUCUUUCUUUAAACCAGGAAGCUGCUGAUACUGCUUUACAGGAAGUGAAUUUGAGAUUGAAUGAGCCGUAUGUUGCUGUAACUGCAAUUAGUAGUCGAGAUGGAAGCUUUGGAAUGGCAGCCAUCAAUGCCAAUAAGAUGCCUUGGGCAAGUAUCAGUGAUCGUGAUAACGAUCACGUUAUCGUCCUAAGAUCGGGCACGCAACCAGGUGUAAUUCAAGAAGAGGUCGAGAUUGAAUGAAUCACAAUGUAUAUAUAUAUGCUACGGUAUAGUGUAAGUAUCAAUGUGGCAUUUGUAACGUUAUAUUAAUAUUUAAAUAGUUAAUAAGAAUUACUCCAUAUUCGUACUGAUUAGUAUCGCUACAGUUUAACUCACUACUAUGCACUUAAGGCAAUGUCAGAAGAAGCACCAAACUCGUACAAAAGCGUGUUGUUCAUAAAAUGUAAAAAAAUGUAAUUAGAAACGUAAAGAAAUAAAUUGCAACAGUAUAUAGGUGAAGAUCAAACAAGCAUUCGUGAAAACAAAUGACAUUAUAACUCGCGUUCAGUCGAUUGGCAUGAUGAGGAUAUUUGAAUUUCAUGAACAAGAUACACAUUGACUGUAGAGAGAUCUAGAGCACGAGUAAUUUACGUGUGUAAAGAAAAGUUGGGAACGAUGUACAUGUGUUCAAACUUUGUAAACGAAGUAAAAAUUUAUGAUAACCAUAUGUGUUUCAAAAUACUUGUGAAUUUUAUGUCACUGAUGUUAGAUAUUUAACAAUUAUUGAAUGAGGUUG
Molecule: non-coding RNA, 1306 nt
Organism: Paramuricea clavata
Lineage: Eukaryota; Metazoa; Cnidaria; Anthozoa; Malacalcyonacea; Plexauridae
Source: the annotation of a GenBank genome assembly